UCGCUCACCGUGUCGCCUGCAGUCACGAUKACCCUUCGGGGUGMKMUUAUGGCGAACGGGUGAGUAACACGUGGGCAAUUGCMARCACUCUGGGACAAGCCCUGGAAACGGGGUCUAAUACCGGAUACGAGUCUGGGAGGCAUCUCCUGGACUGGAAAGCUCCGGCGGUGAAGGAUGAGCCCGCGGCCUAUCASCUUGUUGGUGGGGUAAUGGCCUACCAAGGCGACGACGGGUAGCCGGSCUGAGAGGGCGACCGGCCACACUGGGACUGAGACACGGCCCAGACUCCUACGGGAGGCAGCAGUGGGGAAUAUUGCACAAUGGGCGAAAGCCUGAUGCAGCGACGCCGCGUGAGGGAUGACGGCCUUCGGGUUGUAAACCUCUUUCAGCAGGGAAGAAGCGAAAGUGACGGUACCUGCAGAAGAAGCGCCGGCUAACUACGUGCCAGCAGCCGCGGUAAUACGUAGGGCGCAAGCGUUGUCCGUUAAUUAUUGGGCGUAAAGAGCUCGUAGCGGSKUGKGSASGGUCGGGGKGUGAAAGCCCGGGGCUUAACCCCGGGUCUGCMUCCGAUACGGGCAGGCUAGAGUGUGGUAGGGGAAGAUCGAAAUUUCCUG
Molecule: ribosomal RNA, 614 nt
Filed under: Streptomyces roseoviolascens
Lineage: Bacteria; Bacillati; Actinomycetota; Actinomycetes; Kitasatosporales; Streptomycetaceae
Description: partial 16S ribosomal RNA
Source: RNAcentral